AUUGAACGCUGGCGGCAGGCCUAACACAUGCAAGUCGAGCGGAUGAAGGGAGCUUGCUCCUGGAUUCAGCGGCGGACGGGUGAGUAAUGCCUAGGAAUCUGCCUGGUAGUGGGGGAUAACGUCCGGAAACGGGCGCUAAUACCGCAUACGUCCUGAGGGAGAAAGUGGGGGAUCUUCGGACCUCACGCUAUCAGAUGAGCCUAGGUCGGAUUAGCUAGUUGGUGGGGUAAAGGCCUACCAAGGCGACGAUCCGUAACUGGUCUGUGAGGAUGAUCAGUCACACUGGAACUGUGACACGGUCCGGACUCCUACGGGAGGCAGCAGUGGGGAAUAUUGGACAAUGGGCGAAAGCCUGAUCCAGCCAUACCGCGGGUGUGAAGAAGGUCUUCGGAUUGUAAAGCACUUUAAGUUGGGAGGAAGGGCAGUAAGUUAAUACCUUGCUGUUUUGACGUUACCAACAGAAUAAGCACCGGCUAACUUCGUG
This 484-nucleotide ribosomal RNA is filed under the name uncultured bacterium. RNAcentral's name for it is "partial 16S ribosomal RNA". It matches the Rfam family "Bacterial small subunit ribosomal RNA", at positions 30 to 507 of the family's 1533-position model. The record is from RNAcentral.